CUCGUGUUGGCGCCCUUCCUAUUUGAUCAUGCUUUUGACAUGCUAGACAACUCUUUGCAUACUGAACGCAUGAUUCUCCCAUCUUUGGCAAAAAAUAUCCAUUCCUAAUAAUUAACCAUCUCAUCCUUUGGCCAGCUUGAUGAGCUCCACAUAUCCCUUUGUGCACUUCAGUCAUGAUCGUCCUGGCUUCUUGCAAACUUACACAUUUUAGCAAUAUACCAUCAGAGCGUUUCUUAAACAACCCUUCAUCUAUCAGUGUAUAGUUUGGCAAACGUAACUUCAUUUUUUUACUAUUUCCUAUAUUAGGUUCUUUAAGGAACCUUUUAAUCUCUGCCCUUCAAUCUAUUGUAUCUCCAUCUUGUAUGUAAUGAAUUUUAAUCGUUCUCACCCUUCUUUGGACCACGAGCAAUAUUGUUCCAUACUCAUAAGUAGACUUCCAAUUUAAAACCUUUGAGUACCAUGAGGCCAUCUGGGCCAAUUCGUUUGCUACGUCAUUAUAUAUCCUAUUAACACAUUGAAGCUCUAUUUGGUCGAAUUCUUCCAACAACUCUUAGGCGAUUUCAUACUGACUUAUAAUGGAAUCACUUUGGCAUUUAAAAUCACCAAUCAAUUGGUGAAUUACCAAUUGAGAAUCGCCUCUAACGAUCACAUUUUUUACUCUCAUAUCUAUCAUUAAUUCUAGGCCAUGAUUAAGGCUUCGUAUUCGGCCUGAUUGUUGGUGCACAUCCUGUCCAAAGUGAAUGCG
RNAcentral lists this long non-coding RNA (745 nucleotides) under Olea europaea subsp. europaea. The record is from RNAcentral. Lineage: Eukaryota; Viridiplantae; Streptophyta; Magnoliopsida; Lamiales; Oleaceae.